AUGCAGUCGAGCGAGUGGAGUUCUUCGGAACAAAGCUAGCGGCGGACGGGUGAGUAACACGUGGGCAACCUGCCUCAUAGAGGGGAAUAGCCUCCCGAAAGGGAGAUUAAUACCGCAUAAGAUUGUAGCUUCGCAUGAAGUAGCAAUUAAAGGAGCAAUCCGCUAUGAGAUGGGCCCGCGGCGCAUUAACUAGUUGGUGAGGUAACGGCUCACCAAGGCGACGAUGCGUAGCCGACCUGAGAGGGUGAUCGGCCACAUUGGGACUGAGACACGGCCCAGACUCCUACGGGAGGCAGCAGUGGGGAAUAUUGCACAAUGGGGGAAACCCUGAUGCAGCAACGCCGCGUGAGUGAUGACGGCCUUCGGGUUGUAAAGCUCUGUCUUCAGGGACUAUAAUGACGGUACCUGAGGAGGAAGCCACGGCUAACUACGUGCCAGCAUCCGCGGUAAUACGUAGGUGGCGAGCGUUGUCCGGAUUUACUGGGCGUAAAGGGAGCGUAGGCGGACUUUUAAGUGAGAUGUGAAAUACCCGGGCUCAACUUGGGUGCUGCAUUUCAAACUGGAAGUCUAGAGUGCAGGAGAGGAGAAUGGAAUUCCU
RNAcentral lists this ribosomal RNA (598 nucleotides) under uncultured bacterium. RNAcentral's name for it is "bacterial SSU rRNA". It matches the Rfam family "Bacterial small subunit ribosomal RNA", at positions 55 to 671 of the family's 1533-position model. The record is from RNAcentral.